AUGAGGCAGGUAGCAAGCCCCCGGAUGCGAUUCAGUUGACGACGGAGCAGGCCUCAUGUGUCGCAGCGCUCGGCGGGCAGCGCGGAUUGUUCCUGAGAGGUCCGGCAGAGAGUCAAUAGUGGGCAGGCGCACGAUAUACCGGCCGUCUGGAGAGCGAGUAUGAUGUCGGCGAUAGUGCUCUUCGCACUCCAGUUCGGCCUUGGUGAGGAUCGGAGAUGGCCUACGAACUUCCUCCUGCUCCCAGAACCGCCGAACCAAGCAGGUGAUGUCCUCCUCGAUUUGGCAAUGGCCCUCGCGGAUGAUUACUCCGUAGACGUCGGCGCCCAGCAGAAGAUCUACUGGAUCCGCGGAACGGAAUUCUGGAUCGGCGAGCUCCAGGUCCUUAAGAUGGGUCCAGGACUGCAGACUUUGGCGGCAUCCUCCGGCGAAGAGAGUGAGCUUCGGCAGGAUCAAGGCGGCGACGGAGUUGGACUGGUCGCCGUUGUGCGCUCUAAAACUUUCUUCACGUGAUGGCUCCGAGUUGUUUUUGCACUGCUAAGGUUGCGGCUGUCGUUCUUGGCUGGAAACAGUGCCUCCAAAGUAUGAAGCCGUCGCUCGAUGAAGGCUUCCAGCUCGGCGUAAGUAGGCGGGUUGGUCGUGUGACUGAUGACGCUCUCCCAUUCCCGACGAGAACGAUUGUCGAGGAGCUCGACGACCAGAUGCACAAAGAGGUCCUCCGUGCGAUCGAUGGGACGAUCGAUACUCUUCAGCGAGCUGACUGUGGUUUUUACGCCGUGAAAGAGUCGCCCCAGUUCCACUGCGGAUUCGCUCUUCAUCUUAGGAAGCGCCAGGAAGUUGUUGAGGUCUGGCUGCCUGGUUCCUGCCAAUGAUGGACUGGAAGAGGUCUCGGAACGAAGGCCAGUCUUCGUACUUCCCGGUGAAGGUCGGCGGUUGAAUCUUAGGCAAUGCGGUCCGAGGAGCGGCGGCCGGUGUCGCUGCCGAACUUGGUCUGGAUGUAUGCUCUUGUCGUUGGAGAGCGCUCUUCAGAUCGAGCAUGAGGCCCUUGUUCUGCAGCUUCUCGAGGUUUUGAAGCCGGGCCUCCACCGCGCCGAGGGUGAUAUUGGCCUCGCCGAGCUUCCGAAGGUUCUCGUACGCGCGCGAGAUUUUGCCGUAUAGCACUGUGGCUGUGGCAAUGAUUGCCUUAGUGUCUGUCAUGUCUAAAACUGUUUCUCUUUUCUAGGAGCACUGGUCACCGACACUGAUUCACUAUCGCUUCCGUGGCACCGGAUUCAAGGGAGGUUCCUGAGGAAUCCGGCUCGAAGGACCAAAAAUGUGCGCGAC
Non-coding RNA from Nylanderia fulva, 1320 nucleotides. Lineage: Eukaryota; Metazoa; Arthropoda; Insecta; Hymenoptera; Formicidae. The record is from RefSeq and is a predicted model, not a curated record.